This is an RNA transcript of Musa acuminata AAA Group (dessert banana), 3931 nucleotides long. It is a transcript of the gene named DNA-directed RNA polymerase 2, chloroplastic/mitochondrial-like, with no coding region annotated. The transcript is spliced from 19 exons. The record is from RefSeq and is a predicted model, not a curated record. NCBI's taxonomy places the organism in Eukaryota, Viridiplantae, Streptophyta, Magnoliopsida, Zingiberales, Musaceae.
CGGAGAAGCAGGCGAGGGUUUAAAGGCGCGCGUCGAAGAAGAAGGCUGUUCCCACCACCUCCGCCAACUCCUUCGUAGUUACAUUGGAACCUCUCUCAUCUUCCUCCUAUCCUCACCCCAUACGCACGCUCUGAUGUGCAGUAACGCCCCCUUCGUGCUCCGCACCGUCAAAUCAUCUCCCUUCGUUCCGUGCCCCAAUCCCCCCCUCUCGGUCCCUCCUCCAAUCCGUCUCCCGAUCACCGACACAUGCUGCGAGGCGUCGUGAGCGAGGCCGCGUGCUCCUACCGUACAAUCAGUUUCUCCGGCCGGUGCACACGGUGGAUCCCCUCCGUUUCCAACUUCCUCGGUUCCUCUCGAGACUCGAUUGUGUGCGACAAGGAUCGGGUGUCGGACCUUGGGAGGCCGAUCGGUAAUAGGUUCUUGGAAGUUGACUACCGCCAAAACCAGGAAUCGUUGCCGUUUUUUCUGUGCGCCACGUCGUCAAUUGCUGGUGUUCCGACGGAUUUCAGGAGUUUUGCUGGCGUACAUGUGGCGGCUUCUUCGACUGAUGUAGACGAGGAGACUCCCUCCGCAGGAGACGUACAACGCUUCUUGAAUGGGUGGGGCAAGGAUGAGGUGAACGAAGAUGGUAAAGCACGCGGUAGUUUCAGCGGGUCCCCGCCGGAGAGACGGUUUCAGCACCGUCCCAAGUUGGUGGCUGGAAUGUGUGCAAGAAAGUACUACGUGCUUCGUCAGAGACAAAUUAAGAUAGAGACUGACGCUUGGGAGCAGGCGGCUAAGGAGUACAAGGAACUCUUGACGAAUAUGUGUGAGCGGAAGUUGGCCCCAAACUUACCGUAUGUGAAGUCCUUGUUCUUGGGAUGGUUCGAGUCAUUGAGGGACCGAAUUGCCAUGGAGCAGGAGCAGUGCAGGGUUUCAAGAUAUAAGUCAUCACUUGUUCCUUACUUCAAUCAGCUUCCUGCAGAUAUGAUGGCGGUGAUCACUAUGCACAAGACGAUGAGUCUUCUGAUGACUGGCAGUGAAAAUGGAAGUGUUCUUGUUGUUUAGGCUGCAUGCAAAAUUGGUGAUGCCAUCGAGCGUGAGGGAAGGAUUCACAGGUUUAUGGAGAAAACUAGGAAAAACAGAGACAAGGAUAAGAAAAGUGAAGAAGCUGGUUAUACAGUUACCAGAGAGCAAGAAUCUUUAAGGAAAAAGGUCUUAAAGUUGAUGAAAAAGCAAAAGCCUCACCAAGUACGAAAACUGGUCAGGGGUGAAGAUGAUUCCAAACCCUGGGGCCAAGGUUUAAAGUCUUUUUUUAAGGUUGGAAGCUGCUUGAUCGAACUCUUACUAGAUACAGCUUAUAUACAAUCUCCUGUUAGUCAGUCUCCUGAUGGUCCUCCUGAUUUUCGGCCUGUGUUCAGGCACUCUUUGAGAACUAUCAUCACAAAAGAACAACAGAAACUUAUUCGGCGCGUUGGGGUUAUUGAGUGUGAUCCUCUAGUUCGUCAAGGUCUAGAUAGAACCUGAGCAAGACACAUGGUUAUUCCUGACAUGCCAAUGUUGAUACCUCCAGUAAAUUGGAAAAGCUAUGACAGAGGAGCAUAUUUGUUUCUUCCGUCUUAUAUAAUGCGGACACAUGGAUCAAGACAACAACGAGAGGCUGUUAGAAGGGCACCAAGAGAGCUGAUGCAAGCCAUUUUUGAGGCACUGGAUACACUAGGCAAUACCAAAUGGAGGGUUAAUAAAAGGGUGUUAAGCAUUGUAGACAGAAUAUGGUCGAGUGGAGGACGUCUUCCUGAUUUGGUUGAUCAUGAAGAUAUUCCUCUGCCUGAGAAGCCUGAAACAGAUGAUGAAGCUGAACUAAUGAAAUGGAAGUGGAAACUGAAAUCUGUAAAGAAGGAAAAUAGUGAAAAACAUUCUCAGCAUUGUGAUGUGGAACUUAAACUUUCUGUAGCUAGAAAAAUGAAAGAAGAGGAGGGAUUCUACUACCCACACAAUGUUGACUUUAGAGGCCGUGCAUAUCCCAUGCAUCCCUACCUAAAUCAUCUUGGUUCAGAUUUAUGCCGAGGAGUGUUGGAGUUUGCAGAGGGACGGCCACUGGGAAAAUCUGGUUUACACUGGUUAAAGAUACAUCUGGCAAAUUUAUAUGUUGGUGGUGUGGACAAGUUAUCACAUGAUGCUCGAAUAGCAUUUACUGAGAAUCACUUGGAGGAUAUAUUUGACUCUGCAGAUAGGCCUCUUGAAGGAAGGCGUUGGUGGUUAGGUUCUGAAGAUCCCUUUCAAUGCUUAGCAGUUUGUAUUAAUCUUGCUGAGGCAUUAAGGAGCUCCUCAGCAGAGACUACAAUUUCACAUGUUCCAGUGCAUCAGGAUGGGUCAUGCAAUGGUCUACAACACUAUGCAGCUCUAGGAAGAGACAAGUUGGGGGCCAUCUCUGUGAAUCUAAUUGCCGGAGAAAAGCCUGCAGAUGUAUACUCGGAAAUAGCGGCUAGAGUUCUUGGUAUCAUGCGAAGAGAUGCAGACAAGGACCCUACUGUCAAUCGAGAUGCUUUACGUGCUAGGCUAUUAGUUGAUCAGGUGGACAGGAAGUUGGUUAAGCAGACUGUCAUGACAUCAGUUUAUGGUGUCACAUACGUUGGGGCCCGUGAGCAAAUCAAUAGAAGAUUAAAGGAACGGGGUUUGAUUGCUGAUGACACAGAACUAUUUGGUGCAUCAUGUUAUGCUGCCAAAACCAUGUUGACUGCAUUAGGGGAGAUGUUUCAGGCUGCACGGAGUAUUAUGAACUGGCUUGGUGACUGUGCUAAGGUGAUUGCUUCAGAAAAUCAUCCUGUAAGGUGGACUACCCCUAUUGGACUUCCAGUGGUUCAACCUUACCGAAAAUUGGAAAAUCAUCUGGUGAGAACUUCCCUUCGAGUAUUGACCUUAAAACGGGAAACUGAAAAGGUCUCUGUCAGGAGACAGAGAACAGCUUUGCCCCCAAACUUUGUGCAUUCUCUUGACGGUUCCCACAUGAUGAUGACUGCAGUUGCCUGUAAAAGAGCCGGAUUGAACUUUGCAGGCGUCCAUGAUUCAUACUGGACCCGUGCUUGUGAUGUGGAUCAGAUGAACCGAAUUCUUCGUGAGAAGUUUGUAGAACUCUACGAGAGACCUAUAUUGGAAGAGUUACUGGAGAGCUGUCAGCAGUCCUUCCCCACCCUAAAUUUCCCACCAUUGCCAGAACGAGGAGAUUUCAACCUUCAAGACGUCCUGGAAUCACCAUAUUCCUUCAACUGACAUGGCACUAUUUUCGUUGCCAUUCAACCUCCAAUUUGCUGCCUUAUUUUCUUGUGGGCGGCUUGGUGUACGUAAGUCUACAUCCUCGGUCUCUUGGGCAAUGUCGAAGCUAACGCUUGCGCUGUGGGUGCAGCAGCAUUAACGAUCAGCAAAAGCUUCAGUGUGGAUGCAACAGGAGUCGCUUCCAUGUAAGUAAACAUAAUAUGCGUGUGAUCCUGUCUUAGAUUUACCAAGAGACAGCUCUCCUGUGCGGUUUCUGGGAAUAGGGGAUGAUUGGUCAUGAGCUUUUGCUGCUCAACAUGGUCGUAUAAUGCUAGUGUGUUAUUGUUUGGGCUGAGACUGGCCAGGUGAUGUCGGGGAUCGACAGAAACAGGAGAGUGUUGUCAGUUUCAAGAUAGGUGUGAUGUGAUGGAGGAGACCGAGCUAAGUGUGGAUGAUGAACAAGUUCAAGUUCAUGCCGGGGAAGCCAGUGUGGCCAUGUCGGGGAUCUCCUAGGGAAAGAUACUCUUAAUCCAAUUCUGUAACAUGAGGCCCCCAAAGGAAGGCAAACUUGCUCGUCUUCCUUGCAUAAUUUGUGAGGACCCUUUGGAAGCAAGUAUUACAAAGAACAACUAGUGAACAUUUAUUUUUGUAUAUAUAUAUAUAUAUAGCAGCGAUCAAUUCUUGGAGAAUUGUGUUGUAA